GCUGACACAUCCCGGCCAAUUUCCAGCAGACCCUCCCUCCCAGACCCUCCUACUUCCUGGACAGCAUCCAAACUGCCUUCAACAUGGAUGUCCAGGAUGUCCAGGAAGUAGGAGGGUCUGGGAGGGAGGGUCUGCUGGAGAUUGGCCGGGAUGUGUCAU
This 159-nucleotide microRNA precursor is filed under the name Pelobates cultripes (western spadefoot toad). Lineage: Eukaryota; Metazoa; Chordata; Amphibia; Anura; Pelobatidae. The record is from RNAcentral.